CACCUGUAACACAAUGGAUAGUGCUUUGGACUUCUAAUCCAAAGGUCAUGGGUUAGAUUCCCACCUAGGAUGG
This is a non-coding RNA of Trichonephila inaurata madagascariensis, 73 nucleotides long. The record is from the annotation of a GenBank genome assembly. Lineage: Eukaryota; Metazoa; Arthropoda; Arachnida; Araneae; Nephilidae.